Molecule: long non-coding RNA, 11054 nt
Organism: Dermacentor silvarum
Lineage: Eukaryota; Metazoa; Arthropoda; Arachnida; Ixodida; Ixodidae
Exons: 2
Source: RefSeq, a predicted model, not a curated record
CAGUUUUGUGCUCUUUCACCAUCAGAAUGCAGCUACUAUGGUUAGGAAUUAAACCAGUGGCAAAAUGUCAUAGCCAUUAAGCCUGUGUUGCAACGCUGUAUUUUUUUUAGUGUUAAUGUUCCUUUACAAACUGUGUCAAAAGAUCCAUUGACAUACGUGUACAAUCAAUUUGUGGUAGUUCAAACUGAAAUAAUUCAAAGUUCCUGAUAAUUAAAACUUAUUUGAACCCUUAGUCAGACCUUCUUCAUCUUCAAUGCAGUUCGAUACAGCUUUAUUUGAAGAAGGCAUUUUAUUCAUUCAAAUAUUUUGAACAACUGCAAAAGAAUAUGGGGACCCAAAAAGAUGUGAUGAGAGUGCGUUCAUAAGGUGUGAAUAGUCAGUGUGCCAGCAGUUGAUAUUCAGGCUGUUGGGCUUACAGGAACUACUGCAAAAUUGCACUACGCCCUGGAUCGUGUUAGUGGCCCUGAUGUUCUGGAUGAGGCAUUCAGUGAGAUUUUCUCUAAUCACUCCUUUUUUCAUAAAGUAUUCGUAAGUUCUGUGUCGGCCUGAUUUCAAGUAGCGGUGAUCCAGUGGCUAUGGCAUUCUGCAUGAAUUGGUCCUGGGUUCAACUCCUGGCCACAGCGGCCGCAUUCAGAUGGUAGCGGAAUGCAAGAGCACUUGUGUACUGCGCUUUGGGAGCACAUUAAAGAACCCCCGGGGGUCCAAACAAAUCCAGAGCCCUCCACUACCAACUGCGAAGUUUUGGGACGUUAAACUCUAUGAUGAUGAUGAUAAUUAAUCCUUUCCAUAACUCAUUAAGAGUUGUGCAGAAGAAGGCAUAAAAUUGAUUUGCACCGACAUGCCUAUUUGUAUAAAAACAUUUAGUCCUGCUUGCUUUUCAUUCAACUUGAAUAAUUCAGUCAUCAGGCAAUUCAGACAAGAAUCUAUGGUUCCUUGGGAGCUUUAAUAUAUGCAGGUUGGCUACAUUUGUUUUGUAAUUAUAACGAAUAGAUUUGUGGCACACUAAGUAUAAACUGGCUCUGUAACACCAUCAGACAUGUUCCUAUUGAUUAUAAAGCAUUUUAUUUUCAAUAUGGGUUGGUCUAAAGUCCAUAACUGUAACUACGAGACAAAAGCCACCGGCACAUCCUUACACACACGCAAUGGUUAUGCUGUUUUCGAAGCACGAAGAGGCCAAAUGGCACAAGUUGAGCUAGUAUGUAUGCUUUGGUGAUAGCGAAAUGGCAUGAAAAGUGCAUGCUCCUAGGAAAACAUCUUUGCAUCCUAUGUCUCAAGGUGCACAUGUUUUCUUUUUGAGAUCCUUCGUUGUCCUGAGGACAUCUUUGAGCAUGCGGCGUCAUUAGAGAGUUUUAGCUUGUCAGUAUACAUAUUUUUAUUUACAGAAUACUGGUGGUGCAGGUGAAAGCAGCAGUGCUGAUGGUGACAGUUUGGGAUGAUGUGUUCAAACAAAACACAUUACGAAUGUUUUCAUGUUGGAAAAUGUGCAGCCAGUAUACGUGUAUGAAGAUUUGUUACCACCAAUGCCUUUGUACUAAUGGCAUCUUCAGAUUAUUGUUUUCAAGCACUCUAAAGCACUCCUAAAGGUCGAAAAGGGGUGCUCUGGCUACAUUUGGAUGGUCCUUUCCAAUUGCUCAACUCCAAAUUUAAGUGCCGAGAAGCGCUCCCAUCAUCGCCGUCAAAGCAACCAAGAAAUUCGGUCUGUUUCCAGUCACUUGACCCCACCCAUACCCGUGGUUGCACCUGCGAAGGGGGACACUCGCUCCAUUCACGGCAACGAUUAUCAUCCACGUAUGACCCGCUGCGGUGGCUUACUGACUGUGGUGUUGCGCUGCUAAGCACGAGGUCGUGGGAUCAAAUCCUGGCAAAAAUGCCUGUGUCCCCGUGCAUUGGGGGCACAUUAAAAGUCCCCUGGUGGUCCAAAUUAAUCUGCAGUCCCCCACUAUGGCGUGCUUCAUAAUCAGAUCGUAAUUUUGGCACGUAAAACCCCCAAAUUCAUUCAUUCAUUCAUCCACGUAGGCUGCCAUUACCGCACUGUUUCACAUCUAAACGCAGCCUACGGCGACGCUAGCUGGCCACGUCCCCCUUAGCUUUCGCUUCCUUUCCUCUCACUGCUCCAAAAAGCAGUUGUUCACUUGGCACAAAAUAUCUACCACUUGGACGCAGACUGCCUCCAGAAUCGAUCUGCUCAGAUUUGGGGGACCACAGCGACCAUCUAAAGAUGCCAUUAGUUGUAAUAGUUUCGCAUGCCCUAGUGAAACUUUACAAAACCAGAUGCUGCCACAGUCGCAGCUGUACCCACCUGCAUCCCCAGUGUUGUGUAGUAAGCGGUGAUAUGUACACAGACAAGUUAGAACAAUAUGCUAACAAAACUCUGUAGCAGUGGAAAGUGUUGAUUGGGUAGAGGACAUUUGCAGCUGCACUGUGUGAAAGCGCUUCCAGUGAGGUGUGCUGGGCUUCCAUGAGCAUUGGUCUGGAAAAGAACAAAGGUGCACGAAGCAAUGGUUGAUGCAUGUGUUGUGUCACAUGCCCGCAUGUGCACAUGUUAAUGCUCUAUUUGAGUGCUACAGCCUCAAUAUUCGUUUUUCAUGUACCUGAAGAAGGUUGCAAGACAUACAGCUAUUUUCUCUCACUUUUCUAAUACCUCCCCCUCCCCUUUGUUUCUUGUUCUUUCCUUUUUCACCCCAUUGAGGUUUUGUCUGCUCUGAUAUCAGUUCGGAUUUAUUGUUUUAGGCUGACAAUAGUCGUCCAGCCGCUUUUAGAGCCCGAGUGACUUAUGUGAGGAGGUAAUGCAUGUUGAAGGAGCACUGAAGUGGCCUAGUUGGUGCGUACUAAAGAGGGAAUGAACAGCACAGAAGAUAGAACAAAGUUUCGGAUGGCCAGUGCAGUAUUGUGUCUGCUGUCCUACGUUUCAUCAUAUUUUCUGUGUGAUUUGCUUCUUCUUUAAAGCACAUAGCUUUACACCCCACAUAGCUUUUACAGUCAGAGUUCAAUGACUCAUCAACAGUAUCACUCUCAGUUUCUUUCUUCAAAAAUUGCUCAAAUGGGUCUCGGCUAACGUCUAAAAAGUGUUGCAUGAUUUGAAAAGCGUUGCAUUUGCGGUUCAAUGUGCGAUCACUUCGCACUCGCUUUAGUUUGUUGUGCUGCUAUUGAAAUGACUACAGCUGAAAGUGCUAAUUUUUUAGUAUAAGCACUAUGUUCACUUUGUUGUGUUACAGUAAUGCGUGCAUGUGCUAGCUGUAGCCAGCUGUCAUGUGGGCGCAACCUUGUACAAUUUUGUCUGAACCAGUCUCGGUUUAGGAAUGAAUUGGCACAUCUUAUAUGUUUAGUUUCUGUGCCCAUGUAGGCACAAAUGCCGUCUUUACGUUAUGAGUAAGCUUGCUGGAUCAAUGCAAUCUUAAACCACUGUUGCUCUAGCAUUAGCUAUGGUCGUUGAACACAGUCUCCACUGAACUUGUUGAGAUUUAUCGAUGCUAGUAGGAAGCUACUGCACCUGUACGACAUGAGCUAUGGGCUGCACAGGCUGAUGAUUGGCGCCAUGCACCAGCAGUUAUACUUUGGUGAGUCAAAUUGGGUUUUGACUAUCGAAAUUGUGACAGUGUGUGGCAGCAAUUUAUGCCACGAAGUGAACUGUGCAGUUCACUUUUAUUAAAUUCAGCACUUGUUUAGUUGACAUAAGUCAAAUGCAUUUUUAUUUGACCAUGCCUCAAAAGUCCCAGAAGACUUCUACACUUCCUUUAAUUUAAAGGGACAGUAAAGGGGAACACCCAGUCAAACUGGAUUGGCAAAUAUACUUCUGGAAUACCAGGAACGUCGGUCUCGCCGUGAGCGGUGUCUCUUUAAAGAAAAGAUGCAAAAUUAAAAAAUAGGCUCGGGAUAUUCCCUGGCUAGUUUCUCACAAUGUCAUCAGAUUUGGACAGUGUGUACUUGAAGUUAAUUAAUAGUUUAUAGACAAACAAAGAUUCCAUUGCAUUCUAAAGGAACCAGUAACUCAAUUUAGUGAGUUUUAUCAUUUCGGUACAAAGAUUAAAGGCUCUUCACAUAAAACUCUGACACUGAAAGGACUCGUGUUGGUAAGUUCAGGUCUUCCUAGCUCAUCUGUUGCCGUUUUCAGGUCCACCUUAAAUGAGUAAGUGCAGAUACUAUGCAUCCACCUGAAGGCUUCGUGUUUGUGCAGUGUGGUAUAGUGACAUCACCUAGCAUGCACUCGGUUGCACCUUCUUCCAUAUUUCUUUUGAGUGUAUGUGAUUACAUCACACACACAGGCCUUGGCUGCGAGUGGUGCUAGGUAAAAAAUCCCUGAGUUAAGCUUGUACAUAUACACGAAUACUCAAGAAAGUCGAUGGAAGGAUGGCACUGCGGUAGCUAAUUUGUAAAGCACUGCACACAUAAUCCGGAUUAUAUGGGUUUGGCUCCCACCUGCUGCACGUUAUCUUUUCAUCCACUUUCAUCUCCCUUUUUCGUAUUGUUUCUACAUUUAAAUCAGACGUAGAAAUUAAUUUCCCCUGUUCUUUCUCAGGCUUCACUACCUGUUUCUUUGUAUGGUUGUGCUUAGACAUGACGCACGAGAGGCUUCAGUCAAGAUUACACUAACCAGUGCAAACACGAAGUGAAACUCGUUAUCGCAAGUAAAAAUUUUCAUGAUUGGACAUAUGACACGCAAAGGGCUUAUGCGAAAAACUGAAACCUUUCCUUCCUUUUUCUCUACUAAUAACCAGAUGCCAAGCAAACUCGAAUAGGGUUUUCGAGAAAGAAUUCACCAGCAUAAACGUACUUAGUGUUGCUCUUUACUGUCCCUUUAAACAUUAGAUGAUUUGAAGGUUUUGUUGGAGUCGAAUGAACCGGAGUCAGCUGCGUGAUUGUAAUCCGAGUGCUUUGUCAUGGUGAAACCAUCUUCAUCGGUCUGUGAUUCGACACUACUUGCUUUAUACAGGUGUUUUCUAACUCUGUGGCACUGUAAUGUAAAAAUACUGAAGCAUUCAGCUAAUGGGGUAGUCGCCAUGAUGAUCAUUGCAGAGCUCCAAGCAAUCAGCGUUGUUAUUUUCUUUGUGCCUCUGGGCUACCAAUGAUAAGACCGGUUUGCGAAAGCAAAUCCAAAGGGUCUAAACGUCAAGCGAGCAGUGAGGCUGUUGCCGCUGUUAUAGUCUUACAGACUUAAUUGUGAAGUUUGUAGAGGUGCAGCUUUAUUCUCGUAAUCAAAUGGUAAUUUCGUUGUCCGUGUCCAUACCUUUGUAUUUGGACAUUAAAGGCUGGUCAAGAUGUGCAUCCAUUAAUGACCUUGUUAUGUGGUAUAGUUUUGAGUUGUGACUUUUUUGUUUGUAUGCCGGUGAAGGCGACUGCUCAUAUUGAACAUUUUCUUUUUCAUAACUGUUACGGUAUUCGUAAUGUGGAGUUGAUAAAGCUUGGCUGGCUUAAUUGUCUUUCUCUUUGUUGGAGGGAGUAUGCGUAGGCCGUCGAAUUAAUCUUUAAUGGUGUUGGUUGACCUUUGUCUAGCUGCGCUUUAUAAAGUGGCACAUGCAUAAAGAUUUGUGAUUGUGCGAUUUGAGAUUGUGCCAUGCAAAAGGGAUUUUUGCAUAACCCCCUUUUUUUUUGUGAGGUUGUGCACAGGUGCAUGUUAAAGAUACUUAUCAAGCAAUGCUUCAACCUGCAAUUAUCAUAAGCUUACAUGGAAACAGGGUUUCUCACUGUGUUUGAUCUCUUCAUUUUGUGUAAUGUGCAGAGUGUGUACUUCUCUAAAGGCAAGUGUUCCAUGGCUUGCAGAUUGCAGCAUGCCUGUUUGAAAGGCGAGUUGUGGUGCAUUUAUUUUGGCUUGUAUUUGAGGGCACGCUUUUGUUUGUCAUGGGUGUCCUGCCUCCUUGUAGCCUCUAAAGCUGCGACACUGAACCAUGAAUGUGUCAGGGACUCGUUGACUUUUGAGAGUGUUAGCAUAUCCUAGAUGGUAAAGUGAAGCAGAAAUUCUUAAAGGGGCUUUCCAAAUCUCUGAGAGUCACCGAAAUAGGCUCACAUGAUCGCAUUCAUUCAACACAGAAGUUUAAUAAUUGCUGUUGUUUUACAUCCCAAAUCUAUAGUUUGUCUGUGUGUGGUGUCACAGAAGACAGCUGUGGAAUUUGUGACCACCUGCAGUUCUCUUAAUCCACGCCUAAAUCUAAGUUCUACUCAAACAUUUUUUUGCAUUCCGCCCCCCUUUGGAAUGCAGCCACAGGCACUGGGAGUCCAACACAUGACUUUGUUCUCGGAGGCAGAACAGCAUAGCUACUGAGACACUAUGGCGAGUAGAGAAAUUUCAAUGCGUACAAAGAAAGUUGCUUUCAAUUUGAAUUUGAGAGACCCUCCCUCACCCAUUUUAUUCUCCUACUGACAUGUACCGACAUAGUCAGUACCAGAUGAACAUGCUCGCAGAGCAGGCAAGUCUUGCCGUUCGCAUGCCAUUGUUGCCUGUUUAUUGUUGCCCAUUUCCAUGAGUGCUGACAGCUGUUGCCGUGGUUAUAACAGUUAGGUAGAGUAAAUCUAAAUAAAAUACAAGUGACACUGGACAUUCUUUUUUUUUGACAGCUUGAAGGAAAUGACUGCUGACGAAAGGGAACUGGCAGUUGCUCAAUAAGUGUAAAAAGACGGCUAAAAUCCCACAGGAGAUGUCCAUAAUCUCUCCGUAGUUCCGGAAUGCAUGUUUCCUUCUUUAAUCUGUUUUAGUGUAUCUGUCUGAGCAAUAUGGUGGAACAGUAAAAUUUACAACAAUAUGUCACCACCAGCAUACAUACGAGAUCUGUCUGAAAAGCAUCCAAGAUCCUUUACUUUAGGGAAAACUACAGAGUGCAGGUUGGUAACAUUCAGCAUUGUGGAAGGAGGGUCUGUGAUGUAUAUAGCCUGCAGGUGGCAUGGGCAUCACUACUGUCUGGUGUUGUGCUGUACUGUCAUCUGGUUUUCUUCCAAUUAUAAGUGGUCAAAAAUGACAGUGAAUUGUACAAAGACUAUGUGCAAAGUUCUGUACAAAGUUUGGUGAUACUCAAUAAGAAGUGAUUCGCAACAUGCAAACACCCCUUGGCAACAAUGAUAGGGGCAUAAAACAGAUGAAAAUGGGGUACACCUGCAUCAAGGAUAGCCACACGUCUGUGGAGAGAGCCACACUGUGGGUGGUCAUCAGCAAGUCGUAAUGAUGCAUUUGUUGAUGGACUGCGAACCUUGAUAAUGAGAGAAUGUCAGUUAACUGUGAGAGAGAAAUUGCCCACCUGCAGAUACCAACAAAGAUGCUGUGAAUUUCAUUUCAAGUAUGAUUUUUGUAUGCAGCGCGUAGCUGCAAAGGUUGUGCCCUAGAUUUUGCGAGUAGAGCUCAAAGACCUGGCAACCAGAAGAGAAUAACGCCCCUGUUCGUGCUGGUUGUAUGAUUGUCAUUUUGGGCACAGCACAGAAUUUCAGUGGUUCUUCAGUCUCCCUAUUCAGAGGUGGCCCCAUACAACUUCUGGCUGCUCCUAAAAAUCAAAAAGGAAUGCAUUUUUGCACCGGUGAGAUGGGUGCAGAAUGCAAGAACACUCAUGUAGCAUGCUUUGGCUGCAUAUUAUAGAAAACGAGAAAGUGAAAAUCAAUCGGGACCCAUCCAUUAUGAUGCCCCUCUUGACCGAAAAGUUUAUGGAACCCGGGAUUUGCAGUUUUGGGAUGUCAAACUUCAAGGUCGUCUUUUUCUUUACAGUUGUCAGAACGAAAACUCGGAUCCCUGGGGUGCAGCCAGUCACAAAAGUUUAUGGGACCCGUGAUUCGCAAAGAGGCUCAAUUUCCGAAAAGCCUUGUCACAUAGCCGUGAAUUCGAAGUUUCAAUCUGUAGUAGUUUUUUCAACCUAUACUGCGAUUAAAAAAAUUAGAACAGUCAUACCACAGCAGAGCCGCAAUUCACAUCCGUUAAGCAUCUCGUGUCCUGUAAACUUUUGUUGCCAAGUAUCAUUUGCAGGAAAUUCUGACCAGUAGCUUCGUCUUCCUGGCCAAAAGAAGUUGCCCGCUAGUACAGCAUGACUGUCUACCCUGCUUAGUCCUCGCUUUUACUUCUUAUUUUUUAUUAUUUAAUCAUAGAGGCACUGGCACUGUGAUGGUCUUUAUGCUUGUAAAUUGACCUUCAUCUGGUAGUAUACACUGACCUCAAUUGUUUUGCCUGUCACUGCAUGUUAUAAGACUGGGUGAUACUCAUGGCACGGAAUCUUACGCUCCAGUGCUGGCAGCGUCAUGCUCCGACAAAUUACUCAUUUCUUGGGAAAUACACUAUGCAGCCGUAAGGCAAGGAAAAAAAAAAAACAUUGUAUCCAGCUACCUGUGCCCCCGUCUCCUUUGCGGGCCUGGCUUGUGUAAAAAUACUGUUUCACAUUAUCUUGGAGGUGUACACAGUGUAAAUAGAUAAACUGCAGAGAAUCCAGCGAUGAGCUGCAUUUAAAAACUGUUGUGUGUCCAGUGAUGGCGCCGAAGUCUUCUGCUACCUCAGCUGAUCAUUGUCGUCUUUUCAUAGUGAGCAGCUUGAAUGGCUGUAGUAGAAGCAAGUUACUAUCUCUCUCCCUCUUGACCCAAGGUGUCUGUCGCUUUAAUUUGUUUGGAUUUCUUAUUGAUAUGCUGGUUUUUCUGUGCAUGUGUGUUGUGUGUGUUGCAUUGUUGGUACCCUUGGCCAACUGAAUGGUAUGACGCUUCGUAAGGCAUUGUAUUGAACUAGUGAUGAAGGGCAUUGCUUCAUUUGGGUAUUAUAUUGCGAAAACUGCUUUUCGUUUGUUUGUCACGCUGUUCUCUGUCUGUGUACAGCUGUCAGUCCUGCGUGGCUGUCUAUUGCCGAAGUUCAUUUUGGUUGUGUCGGACGAUAGCUUUGUGACGGUCUUUGGCAAUGCGGUGAAUUUUCUCGUUGCCUUUACGCCUGUUCAUUGUUCGCAGUCGUGAAACAUUUAUCAUAAGUCAUCUCCGCUUAUCACGAACUGUUGAACAGAACCGGUGAAGGUCGUGUACUCACACUAGAUAGAUUUAUUCUGUGAAACACCCUUCACAAGACAGCUGAGACAUUGAUACGAGCUACGUUGAAAGGCACACUGUGAAUUUGCUGCUUAAUUCUUUCAGUUUGGUAAUGGCGUAUUUGGCUUUGCGCCUGUUGUGUAGCAGUUACGACUGCGAGGCACAUCCUGUGCUUAUUACUGGAGCAAGUAUGUCGUGAAACUGACCAUGAAGUAGUGGUCGUACUAAAGCUGCUUCCCUUCUUUUCAGGCUUUUAAAUGCUUAGCAACCAGAUUUCCUCGAUUUGUGAAGAAAAUGUAUUAUUUGCUCGACAAGUUCUGUGCAAACGCUAUACUCUGUCUGGCCAAUUGCAUGCAGUGCAUUGAAGCCUACAGCUCAUGUCAGCCAAUCGCUGAUGACAUGAGCGGCUGUACAUUUUAGAGAAGGGAGGAGGGCUCACCCAUUUUGCUCUACUGAUUGUUCCAUGAAGGUACAAUUCAGUCGGCAUUGCACGGGGAGCGAUGACACCUUUUUUCCGGCUCUCUUCUUUGGUUGGCUGCUGUGACCCGUAGCUUUCCCUUCACUGCUAAGAAUUAGUGAGAUGGAGCAUAUAAGUUGCAUUUGACACUUGCAGUUUGAACCUUAAACAACACAAUUUGGAGGUUAUACUAAACAAGGAAGAGUGUCUUCCCUGUCACCAGCAGCACUGCUGGUCGUUGUGCGAUUGUAUACACAUUUGUUUUCUGCCGUCACCAUGCACACUUUGGCUCUUGAUGGUCGUACGAGUAAUUUACGUAUUUGUUCAAUUGACUGAAAGGCAAAUGCUGAAGUUAUCUUGCUUCCAAGCACUGUAUUGCUUUGACCGGACUCAUCACUUCCUCUGUUUUGCUGGUAUUACUUAGGAAAAAGUUAUACUUUACCUUUGGAGAGUGUGUGGAUAUGUUCAUGCAAUGCUUGUCCAAGGCUGAACAGUUCAGCAACAUUGUCACAGCUGCUGCUGGUUCUGUGUAAAUAAUCCGUGUUCCUUGGAAGUUGGGGAAAUGUCUAGCUACCUCAGGUCAUUGACCAGCCACUACUGAAAACGUCCAUAUGUCGGGCCAGUAUCCACUUGCCGGCAUUUAAAGUCCUCAGAAUUAUUGUGCUGCACAUUUUUUGGUGUUUAGCACUUUGAUAUGUAGUGUCUGUUUAUUGCUUACAAUAUUUUGAAAAAGGUGUUCUUUUUUGGCAAUACUUCAGUCUCACCUAAUAGGUAAACUCUGUAGUCCAAGCUUUUUUUCUGCAUAGUAUGCAAACAUUGGCUCAGAUGCUGACAUUCUGAAACAAAAGAACAAGCAAGCAAGCAAGCAAGAUAUUUGAAUUAAAAUUGUGAGAACUGCAGAACUAAAGAUGUGUGUAAACAUGUAGGGUACCAGAAAACUCACAAACAUGUUUUUAACUAGCAUUAUCUGAUAUGACAUAUUGCAAAAAAUGGCAGUUCAUGGACUGCUCUUCAAUGAGUAGUUUCUUGUUGGAAUGCUUAAUCAUCAGCUGACAGAAAACAUUUAAAAGAUCUUGCAUCUUCUGUUGGUAUUCCUACGCACAUGCUCAUAGAAAAAGUUGUUUCUGGUGCCGCAGUCUCACAGGUGCUUUUUGUGAAGCCUGCUUAUUGAGACACCAGCUUCUUGCAAUUUUCUCUUGUGAUCUCUCAUUUACAUGUUUAUGCUUUUGGGGGCAUAUGCAACACUGGUGUUGUUCAUUUACAUGGUUACUUUUGCAUUGUUUGGCAUUUGUUGUGAGGAAUUGUGGUGUGACAUAUCAUUGAGCAGGAGCUUUUUAUUAUUUUUUGUUUUGUUUCACUGUUUACUUGGCAAGCAAACAAGCAUGGCACUAUAGAGCUGUUUUGAAGUGUCUCAACAUUUUACAUGAUUGGGCAGCUCUUACACCUGUUUUACCGUGCAACAUUUAUCCUUGCUUUCACUUGCUAGAGUCGUUCAGAGUACUCUAUGGAUUGUCCUUGUGAAUGCAGAUUGUUUUAGAAAGAAUGCAACUAAAUGUACCGGUUUAGAAUAUGCUCAGUGUAACAUAGUGUCACCUUGAAAAUAAAGCAUCAAAGUAAACAUGAAUGUGUC